RNAcentral lists this ribosomal RNA (253 nucleotides) under uncultured bacterium. RNAcentral's name for it is "partial 16S ribosomal RNA". It matches the Rfam family "Bacterial small subunit ribosomal RNA", at positions 524 to 776 of the family's 1533-position model. The record is from RNAcentral.
UACGUAGGGUGCGAGCGUUGCCCGGAUUUAUUGGGCGUAAAGGGCGCGUAGGCGGCCACGCACGUCCGUUGUGAAAUCGCCCGGCUCAACUGGGCGGGGUCGGCGGAUACGGCGUGGCUGGAGCAAGCUAGGGGGCAAUGGAAUUCCCGGUGUAGUGGUGGAAUGCGUAGAUAUCGGGAGGAACACCAGUGGCGAAGGCGGUUGCCUGGAGCUUUGCUGACGCUGAGGCGCGAAAGCGUGGGGAGCGAACCGG